Molecule: ribosomal RNA, 1430 nt
Filed under: uncultured organism
Description: 16S ribosomal RNA
Rfam family: Bacterial small subunit ribosomal RNA
Source: RNAcentral
GCGGCGUGCUUAACACAUGCAAGUCGAACGGAAAGGCCCUGCUUUUGUGGGGUGCUCGAGUGGCGAACGGGUGAGUAACACGUGAGUAACCUGCCCUUGACUUUGGGAUAACUUCAGGAAACUGGGGCUAAUACCGGAUAGGAGCUCCUGCUGCAUGGUGGGGGUUGGAAAGUUUCGACGGUUGGGGAUGGACUCGCGGCUUAUCAGCUUGUUGGUGGGGUAGUGGCUUACCAAGGCUUUGACGGGUAGCCGGCCUGAGAGGGUGACCGGCCACAUUGGGACUGAGAUACGGCCCAGACUCCUACGGGAGGCAGCAGUGGGGAAUAUUGCACAAUGGGCGGAAGCCUGAUGCAGCAACGCCGCGUGCGGGAUGACGGCCUUCGGGUUGUAAACCGCUUUCGCCUGUGACGAAGCGUGAGUGACGGUAAUGGGUAAAGAAGCACCGGCUAACUACGUGCCAGCAGCCGCGGUGAUACGUAGGGUGCGAGCGUUGUCCGGAUUUAUUGGGCGUAAAGGGCUCGUAGGUGGUUGAUCGCGUCGGAAGUGUAAUCUUGGGGCUUAACCCUGAGCGUGCUUUCGAUACGGGUUGACUUGAGGAAGGUAGGGGAGAAUGGAAUUCCUGGUGGAGCGGUGGAAUGCGCAGGUAUCAGGAGGAACACCAGUGGCGAAGGCGGUUCUCUGGGCCUUUCCUGACGCUGAGGAGCGAAAGCGUGGGGAGCGAACAGGCUUAGAUACCCUGGUAGUCCACGCUGUAAACGGUGGGUACUAGGUGUGGGGUCCAUUCCACGGGUUCCGUGCCGUAGCUAACGCUUUAAGUACCCCGCCUGGGGAGUACGGCCGCAGGGCUAAAACUCAAAGGAAUUGACGGGGCCCCGCACAAGCGGCGGAGCAUGCGGAUUAAUUCGAUGCAACGCGUAGAACCUUACCUGGGUUUGACAUGGAUCGGGAGUGCUCAGAGAUGGGUGUGCCUCUUUUGGGGUCGGUUCACAGGUGGUGCAUGGCUGUCGUCAGCUCGUGUCGUGAGAUGUUGGGUUAAGUCCCGCAACGAGCGCAACCCUUGUUCACUGUUGCCAGCACGUUAUGGUGGGGACUCAGUGGAGACCGCCGGGGUCAACUCGGAGGAAGGUGGGGAUGACGUCAAGUCAUCAUGCCCCUUAUGUCCAGGGCUUCACGCAUGCUACAAUGGCUGGUACAGAGAGUGGCGAGCCUGUGAGGGUGAGCGAAUCUCGGAAAGCCGGUCUCAGUUCGGAUUGGGGUCUGCAACUCGACCUCAUGAAGUCGGAGUCGCUAGUAAUCGCAGAUCAGCAACGCUGCGGUGAAUACGUUCCCGGGGCUUGUACACACCGCCCGUCAAGUCAUGAAAGUUGGUAACACCCGAAGCCGGUGGCCUAACCGUUGUGGGGGAGCCGUCGAAGGUGGGACUGGUGAUU